AAUUAGAUAAGCUAAAUUAAGCUAGUGGGUUCAUACCCCAAUAAUGAGACUUCCUCUCUAAUUA
RNAcentral lists this transfer RNA (64 nucleotides) under Lepidonotopodium sp. YZ-2018. Its description in RNAcentral is "tRNA-Met". The record is from RNAcentral. Lineage: Eukaryota; Metazoa; Annelida; Polychaeta; Phyllodocida; Polynoidae.